UUAACGAAAAAGGACUAACGAC
Molecule: microRNA, 22 nt
Filed under: Glycine max (soybean)
Lineage: Eukaryota; Viridiplantae; Streptophyta; Magnoliopsida; Fabales; Fabaceae
Description: gma-miR4399
Source: miRBase by way of RNAcentral